Molecule: ribosomal RNA, 254 nt
Filed under: uncultured bacterium
Lineage: Bacteria
Description: partial 16S ribosomal RNA
Rfam family: Bacterial small subunit ribosomal RNA
Source: RNAcentral
UACGUAGGGGGCAAGCGUUGUCCGGAAUCAUUGGGCGUAAAGCGCGUGUAGGCGGUCCGGUAAGUCCGCUGUAAAAGUCGGGGGGCUCAACCCUCGGAUGCCGGUGGAUACUGUCGGGCUUGAGUACGGAAGAGGCGAGUGGAAUUCCUGGUGUAGCGGUGAAAUGCGCAGAUAUCAGGAGGAACACCAAUUGCGAAGGCAGCUCGCUGGGACGUUACUGACGCUGAGACGCGAAAGCGUGGGGAGCAAACAGG